AAACGACUUUGGAAGAAUCUUUGAAUUACUUUCUGAUACUAAAAUUGAAGAUUAUUUGAUAAUUUUUAUUGGAUCGGAAGGGCCUACAUUAACUUCUAUGAUGCUUUAUUACAACCAAUCCAAAUUCCUUAGUUAUGAUCCUUUACUAAAGCGCGCGAGAAUAGAAUCCGUUGCUAUCAAUAAAACUUUAAUGAAAAGAUAUUAUCUUAUUGAAAAAGCCAAAGAUGCGAGACUAGUAGGAAUAUUAUUAGGAACUCUUGGCUCUGGAAAAUACAAAGAAAUUACUGAAUACAUGAAGCGUAUAAUCAAAAAUGCAGGGAAAAAGCCAUAC
Long non-coding RNA from Zophobas morio, 331 nucleotides. RefSeq lists it as uncharacterized. The record is from RefSeq and is a predicted model, not a curated record. The transcript is spliced from 5 exons. NCBI's taxonomy places the organism in Eukaryota, Metazoa, Arthropoda, Insecta, Coleoptera, Tenebrionidae.